AAUGUGCUCUGGUCAUCUUCCCAGCUGGGAAGAAGUCCAGACAGAGGCCAAACCUUCAGCAGAAAGAGAGGACCCCAGGCACACCUACACACCUUUGUCCUUGGGCUGGACAGGAGGCAUUUCUGUGGCAGCUAGUGCCCAACAGCUGCAGACACAAGUGGGAUAGCACAGGCUGCCCUGGGAAGUGGUGGAGUCACUGUCCCCGGAGGUUUUCAAGAAGUGUGUACAUGUGGCACUGAGGGAUGUGGUUUAGUGGGUACGGUGGUAAUGGGUCAGUGGUUGGACUGGACGAUCUUAGAGUCAGACCUUUAAAUGCCGCCUGGUCCAACUCCCCUGCAGUGAACAGGGACAUCGACAGCUACAUCAGGUUGCCCAGGGCCUGAUCUUAGAGAUUUUCUCCAACGCCACAGAUUCUGUGAUUGUUUGAUUCCAAGACUCGUGCUUCCACUUGUGUCUCUGCAGAGGUGGUUCUUCAAACCUAUGCUUCUCCACCCCACCCCUAUCUCCUCUCUCCCUCUCUCCUGCAGGUAGGUGGAGUAGGUGAGAAUGGGUGACAAGAAGAUGACCGUGGCACGAGCAUGGUGUGAGCACUGGAUGAACUAUGGGUUCACUAUGAAGGGACCUUGAGGAUCAUGGAUCAAAAGGGGAGCGUGGACAGACCAAGAGGACACUGGAGCAAAUAGUGGGCGGUUCUUCAAACCUAUGCUUCUUCACCCCACCACUAUCUCCUCUCUCCAUCUCUCCUGCAGGAAGGUGGAGCUACAUUCCCAUGGAAGGUAAAGCUUGGAGAGUAAAGCCAGGUGAGCUCUGAACUGCUCCGCACCAUCAACCCUUUGCUCGACUGCAUCACGCUCCCAAAGUCCCCUCCUGUCCCAUUCUGUGCUCAAGCACACAGUGGCAUCCCAUCUCCUCAGCCUCAAGAAGCAGAAGGGGAGCUCUGAGCUGCUCCACACCAUCACCUCCUUUCUUCUACUGCAUCACACUCCCAGUAUUCCACCCCCUCCCAUCCCUCUGGAUGUGCCCUUCCGAAAGCAGAGCUGGCUUGGGCUCUUCACCUUUUCCCUCUGCAUCCAGAGUAGGGACCUGGCUCCAGCUGAGCCAUUCAGGCUAAGGAAGUCAGAAAUAUUUCUGCCAGCUGCGUCAUCACAACUGAUAAAGCAGAAGUACGGGGAUGUGGAAGCCAAGCGAUCCGUGGAGUAGAGGUUUACCCAGAGGUCUGCUGAGAUCAAUUAAAAUUCCGGGCACUCGUGGUGCUUAAGAUGUCCAAA
Molecule: long non-coding RNA, 1268 nt
Organism: Numida meleagris (helmeted guineafowl)
Lineage: Eukaryota; Metazoa; Chordata; Aves; Galliformes; Numididae
Exons: 2
Source: RefSeq, a predicted model, not a curated record